AAUCCCGCUCAGUUUUUUGGUUACCCGCUCGUUACUCCCUCUUCUUCUCAUCUCCCAAAUAAAAGUUUCUACUUGAUUCUUUUUCCGUUUUAAUCUCAAAAUUUGCCCCCAAAUUUCCCAUUUUCAGCAACACCAAGUAAACACACCUACACCAAUCACAUUUCUUUUUCCUUUUCAUUUCACUGGACUGAAUUCACUCACCAUAGCUACUCAUUUUCUCUCGAUCUGUUAGGGUUUCUUUUAAUUUUAGGCUUUCAAGGGAAACAUACAGUUUCCUUUUAAUUUUACUGGUGAUUUCUAUGGAGACGGAAACCCUAGAUGACAAGAAACUGGAGGAAGAGGAGGUGAAAGAGAGACUGAAACUUCCCAUUGAAUAAGAAAUCAAUAGAAGGAAAAAGAAAACAGAUCUUUCUGAAUAAGAAGAAGAAAAAUCGGUACUUUCUUUCCAUUGAAGAACAAGAAGACAAAGAGGAUAUCAAGGGAAAAUGUCAAGAGAAAAUCUAAGAAGAGCUGCACUUCCUCCUGUUCAAGAGAAUAUUGAUAAAUUAGAAAAAGCUAUAAAUGAGGGUAAUUUCUAUGGAGCUCAGCAGAUGUACAAAUCAAUAAGUGCACGAGAAACCGAAGGAAACCUGAAAAACUUAAUGCGGGAAAAAAGGUGAACAGUAGGAAGGCGAGGAAAGAAAAAUUAGGAGACAGAAUUACAGCACUUCACCAGCUUGUUUCAUCAUUUGGGAAGGUUCAUGGAGACUAUGCGAGUUUUGGGUGAUGAGAUCUGCUAUCGUGUUAAAAACUUUGUGUAGGCGUCUUAUCGUAAGUGGUGAGGUCUGAUUUCAUUUUUAUUCAGGAUCCUUGUGAGUACUGGAAGCUAGAUGACACAAUAAUCAAAACCAUCGAGACAGCACCAGAUGAAGAACUCCGAGAAUCUAGAGAUCUGAUUCUGCACAUUCGUAGGAGAAAUUUGUAUCAGGUGGAAAACCUUUGCAUACUUUCACUUCAUUUUUGUGUUUUGAUCAUGGUAGCAUGCAAACAAACAUGCUAUUAUUAUUAUUAUUUAAAUGUGAAAGACGAAACUUACUGUAUACUGUGUUAUUUUCUGUGUUAGUUCUGUAACCAAGAUUUACUUGAUUAAGAAAAUGCAUUGUAUAUUUUAUUACUUUGCA
This is a long non-coding RNA of Gossypium raimondii (Peruvian cotton), 1160 nucleotides long. RefSeq lists it as uncharacterized. The transcript is spliced from 7 exons. The record is from RefSeq and is a predicted model, not a curated record. Lineage: Eukaryota; Viridiplantae; Streptophyta; Magnoliopsida; Malvales; Malvaceae.